RNAcentral lists this ribosomal RNA (253 nucleotides) under uncultured bacterium. Its description in RNAcentral is "partial 16S ribosomal RNA". It matches the Rfam family "Bacterial small subunit ribosomal RNA", at positions 524 to 776 of the family's 1533-position model. The record is from RNAcentral.
UACGAAGGGGGCUAGCGUUGCUCGGAAUCACUGGGCGUAAAGGGCGCGUAGGCGGCCGGCCAAGUCGGGGGUGAAAGCCUGUGGCUCAACCACAGAAUGGCCCUCGAUACUGGACGGCUCGAGACCGGAAGAGGUUGGUGGAAUUGCGAGUGUAGAGGUGAAAUUCGUAGAUAUUCGCAAGAACACCGGUGGCGAAGGCGGCCAACUGGUCCGGAUCUGACGCUGAGGCGCGAAAGCUAGGGUAGCAAACGGG